UGCACUUUGGUCUGUUAUCAAGGGUUACUUGUUUGUUUCUAUGUAAAUAUUCAUAUAGAGAAAUUGGUAACUCAACCUAAUCCAGAAUAGCAAAACAGAAAGAAGAACUUACAAGUAAAUAUAUUUUUCUAAAAUCUUCAUAACAUGCUUAAGUUUCUCAUAAUGCAAUUUCCAUAACAUGCAUGUUACCAUUUGCCAAUCAUAACUCAGAUAGGGUUAAUAACUUACAUGAAGGUGAACCUUUUCUUUUGACUGAGAUCCAACAGAACUUCAGACUACAGUGGGUACACACACUUCUUCCUGCGAAGACUGACCUUCGCAGUCUUACUGACCUUCUCCAUUGGCACUGCUGCUGGAUCCCCUCCUACUGACAGUGGUGUUCUUCAAUAUCUGCAAGAAAACAAACCAUAUUUAGAGCUUGUUCAGGAAAGAAAGCUGACACCCAGGCAAAAUCAACCUACAACUACGUUGUCAGCCAUAAGACAGAAAGCAUCAAGAAGUGUGACAAUAUAUACAUAUAAAUUAGAGAGAGAGAGAGAGAGAGAGCAGUCGGAUUCAAUCAAGUUAGAGCACAUGAUGCUACUGGUAACAAAUAAAUUACUCCAGAACGGAUGCUUUGGGCAGAAUGUGCAUGCCAAACACAGCUAACAAAGACCAUAAUGCAACAAAAGCAGUGCAAGUUUCCAUCAAAGAAACAGACACUACUGUGCAAGUCACAUGAUAUGAUACAGAACUAGAUGACAAGGAAGCAUCCCACCAAAGUUUGAGGCAUUUCUUUAAUGAAAGAUCUAAUUUCCUUGACUAGAAGAAAGAAAACAGCUCGAUUACUUAGAGAUCCAACUCUCCACCACCCACCCAGAGUAGUACCCCUUCAAAGCCUCAGCAAGACGAGGAUGGCAGCGAUCGCUGCAGAGUUUUUCUGAGAAGCAAAUGACUCCAGUAAUAUGCGAUGCCACCAUGUUGGAAAACGGAUAAAGAAGAAAAUGAUGUCACGGCUUACUGUGGUCGACAAAGGGACACGUCUGGGGGCAGGACUAAGACCAGAACCUAGAACGGCAGCUGCAGUUAAUUACCCAAAAUACCCCUCAUUAGAUGGUACUCUCGUAUCAGCCUAUCCUGAGACUCUGAUAUUUCUUUUUAAAGUGGAUAAUUUAUACAGAUGUAAUAGGAUAUAUUCGAUAGAGUUAGAAAAUGAUCUCUCUCUCUCUCUNN
This 1212-nucleotide long non-coding RNA is filed under the name Phoenix dactylifera (date palm). RNAcentral's name for it is "long non-coding RNA (PDAC_LNC002129)". The record is from RNAcentral. Lineage: Eukaryota; Viridiplantae; Streptophyta; Magnoliopsida; Arecales; Arecaceae.